UCUCCAAUGGGCCAGCGGUUAGGACUCCCUGCUUCCACUGCAGGGGGCACAGGUUCAAUCCCUGCUUGGUGAA
Molecule: transfer RNA, 73 nt
Filed under: Bos taurus (domestic cattle)
Lineage: Eukaryota; Metazoa; Chordata; Mammalia; Artiodactyla; Bovidae
Also listed under: 5 other names
Rfam family: tRNA
About the family: Transfer RNA (tRNA) molecules are approximately 80 nucleotides in length.
Source: Rfam by way of RNAcentral